This 649-nucleotide ribosomal RNA is filed under the name Pseudomonas azotoformans. RNAcentral describes it as "bacterial SSU rRNA". Lineage: Bacteria; Pseudomonadati; Pseudomonadota; Gammaproteobacteria; Pseudomonadales; Pseudomonadaceae. The record is from RNAcentral.
UAAUGCCUAGGAAUCUGCCUGGUAGUGGGGGAUAACSUUCGGAAACGGACGCUAAUACCGCAUACGUCCUACGGGAGAAAGCAGGGGACCUUCGGGCCUUGCGCUAUCAGAUGAGCCUAGGUCGGAUUAGCUAGUUGGUGGGGUAAUGGCUCACCAAGGCGACGAUCCGUAACUGGUCUGAGAGGAUGAUCAGUCACACUGGAACUGAGACACGGUCCAGACUCCUACGGGAGGCAGCAGUGGGGAAUAUUGGACAAUGGGCGAAAGCCUGAUCCAGCCAUGCCGCGUGUGUGAAGAAGGUCUUCGGAUUGUAAAGCACUUUAAGUUGGGAGGAAGGGUUGUAGAUUAAUACUCUGCAAUUUUGACGUUACCGACAGAAUAAGCACCGGCUAACUCUGUGCCAGCAGCCGCGGUAAUACAGAGGGUGCAAGCGUUAAUCGGAAUUACUGGGCGUAAAGCGCGCGUAGGUGGUUUGUUAAGUUGGAUGUGAAAUCCCCGGGCUCAACCUGGGAACUGCAUUCAAAACUGACUGACUAGAGUAUGGUAGAGGGUGGUGGAAUUUCCUGUGUAGCGGUGAAAUGCGUAGAUAUAGGAAGGAACACCAGUGGCGAAGGCGACCACCUGGACUAAUACUGACACUGAGGUGCGA